Molecule: unclassified non-coding RNA, 20 nt
Filed under: synthetic construct
Description: fabp10a sgRNA
Source: RNAcentral
GUGCAGACCCUCACUGUGGG